UCCUCUUCCCACUUGGAGCCGGUCUCCAGGGCAGAUCUUCCGGGCUGCACGCGCUGUGUGAGAAAUUAGAAAAAUCUUACAAUAAAAACCGAAAAAAAAAGAUGCGAAAAAAAUUACAGUGUCAACAACUUUAACAAUGACAGCUGUCUGGCUUCUCAGCGCAAACGCACACGUUCCCUUCGCUGGAAGUCAAAGAAAGACGGCGAAAGUCGAACAGAUCAUUCAUGGAAACUCACCUUCUAUAUUAAAAAUGUCACUGCAACUACAACGCAAGGUAAUGACCGAAAGAAUAAGGUCGCAAAUAGAAGAGGUGGAGUGUCUGGUUUGGGUGUCUGGUUUUACACUCCUGGAGAGGAUGAGAAGCUUGUCUAUCUGGGAGGGAUUCUGAGUAGAGUCGCUGCUUCUUGGAAUUGAACAGAGCCAGCUGAGGUUGUUCGGGCGUCUGGUGAGGAUGCCCCAUGGUCGUCUCCGUAGGGAGGUCUUCCAGGCAUGCCCAACUGGGUGGAGGACCUGGGGGAAGACCCAGGACAUGCUGGAAGGAUUAUAUUUUCUAUCUGGUUUAGGAAUGCCUUGAGAUCCCCCAGGAGGGUUAUAGGACUUGGGAUGAGCUGCUUUGUCUACUACCACUGCAACCUGGACCCCAGUAAGCAGCAAAAAAAUGAAUGAAUGAAUUAACUGUGAUAUGGUUUGAUGUUUCCAGGAAAAUAAAUAAAACAUAAUGCAGUACUAUGCGAGUAUCAUUCCCCUUGUUUGUGAAAACCUUAUUGGUUUUCGUGCCCCCAGUUUUGCCAAACCCACAGCCGGUCUUCAGUCUGCGGCUUGUGGACCCAUGAAAUAACAUCAGAGGGUAAUAGUGUCCACAUAGCACAGUGUGGGGAAAUCUCAUAAAGCUACAAAUUUAAAAAAAUGGGGUCAUGCUGGGGCAUCUGAAAAGACACUAUAGCAUGGGAGGAGUAACAGCAGUGACCACUCGCUGUGGUUCAGACAGCACUCACGAUCUACACUUAUGAAACCAAUCACACACAGACAUGAACGUAGAAUGUCCAGAUAUGUGUGUAAGGGAGAAAAAAAAAUGGUUGUGAGCAAAAGAAAUAAAUAUAACUUGGAUUUGCAUCACUUCAAACAGUAAUGUGUACACAGAUUUCAGUGGUGCAUAUCUGACAUACAAAUAUUAAAAAAAUGUCUGAUUUGGCAUCUCCACACUCCCAGUUUGUCACAUGUUGUCACAGGGGGAGUGCAAGAGAGAGAUUUGAGUCACUUCAACUGGGAAUGUGAAUGUAGCCGAGCAAAAUGGUUGGAUUGAUUAACUACAAGAUUCACAGGUCAGGUCUGGAACCAUGUUUUAGUUCUGUGCAUUGCAGCAUCUACCACACUACAUACCGUAACUGUCCUGGGUCCUGGUUGGCAACCACCCAAGCAGACAUAUGGUGCGUCGCCACGUCCCAAAAUGAGCCAUCUCUCUGCUGCAGCCAUGUGAGUGUCCCAUUGGCCUUUUGCAGUUAUUGAGGUCCCCAGCAUCGAGGCACCUGAGCAUUAACAGCAUGCUCAGGGAAGCGUGGCACAUGGCUGUAGUGUCAUAACUGACAUUCCUCACAUUGCAAGUAGUCGAUCUCAUCCGAGUCUCCCUAAGUAACCAUUUGUUUGACACAAAGUUAUUCCAGCGGCACCCAAAGAUUCUCUGGAGAAACGUAGUCAGUGCCAGAGACAUCCAGCUGUCAGGGUAUGUACGUAUGUGCAUCAGUUGAUGUAUCAAGAAAGUUUUAUUUGUAAAAAAAAAAAAAA
Long non-coding RNA from Thalassophryne amazonica, 1782 nucleotides. RefSeq lists it as uncharacterized. Lineage: Eukaryota; Metazoa; Chordata; Actinopteri; Batrachoidiformes; Batrachoididae. The record is from RefSeq and is a predicted model, not a curated record. The transcript is spliced from 3 exons.